GACGAACGCUGGCGGCGUGCUUAACACAUGCAAGUCGAACGGAAAGGCCCUGCUUGCAGGGUACUCGAGUGGCGAACGGGUGAGUAACACGUGGGUGAUCUGCCCUGCACUUCGGGAUAAGCCUGGGAAACUGGGUCUAAUACCGGAUAGGAGCCAUUUUUAGUGUGAUGGUUGGAAAGUUUUUUCGGUGUAGGAUGAGCUCGCGGCCUAUCAGCUUGUUGGUGGGGUAAUGGCCUACCAAGGCGGCGACGGGUAGCCGGCCUGAGAGGGUGGACGGCCACAUUGGGACUGAGAUACGGCCCAGACACCUACGGGAGGCAGCAGUGGGGAAUGUUGCACAAUGGGCGCAAGCCUGAUGCAGCGACGCCGCGUGGGGGAUGACGGCCUUCGGGUUGUAAACUCCUUUCGCUAGGGACGAAGCUUUUUGUGACGGUACCUAGAUAAGAAGCACCGGCUAACUACGUG
Molecule: ribosomal RNA, 465 nt
Filed under: uncultured bacterium
Lineage: Bacteria
Description: partial 16S ribosomal RNA
Rfam family: Bacterial small subunit ribosomal RNA
Source: RNAcentral